Molecule: ribosomal RNA, 508 nt
Filed under: Bacillus sp. PsM16
Lineage: Bacteria; Bacillati; Bacillota; Bacilli; Caryophanales; Bacillaceae
Description: partial 23S ribosomal RNA
Rfam family: Eukaryotic large subunit ribosomal RNA (bases 103-508)
Source: RNAcentral
CGUUUUAGGUUUUACCAACUGCGGCUAAUCUUUUUUAUACUGAGCGUAUUGGAACGUUAUCGAUAAGAAGAGAGCGUCUAGGCGAACAAUGUUCUUAAAGUUUGACCUCAAAUCAGGUAGGAGUACCCGCUGAACUUAAGCAUAUCAAUAAGCGGAGGAAAAGAAACCAACCGGGAUUGCCUUAGUAACGGCGAGUGAAGCGGCAAAAGCUCAAAUUUGAAAUCUGGUACCUUCGGUGCCCGAGUUGUAAUUUGGAGAGGGCAACUUUGGGGCCGUUCCUUGUCUAUGUUCCUUGGAACAGGACGUCAUAGAGGGUGAGAAUCCCGUGUGGCGAGGAGUGCGGUUCUUUGUAAAGUGCCUUCGAAGAGUCGAGUUGUUUGGGAAUGCAGCUCUAAGUGGGUGGUAAAUUCCAUCUAAAGCUAAAUAUUGGCGAGAGACCGAUAGCGAACAAGUACAGUGAUGGAAAGAUGAAAAGAACUUUGAAAAGAGAGUGAAAAAGUACGUGAAA